GCUAUCACUCUUUUUUUUAUUUAAUUGAUUUUAUUUUUUUAAAUACACAACAGUGGGAAGCAUUACAAUUCUUAUUACACAUAUAGAGCACAAUUUUUCAUAUUUUUGUGUAUAAAGUGUGUUCAGGCCAAUUCAUGUCUUUAUACAUGUACUUAUUUUUGCAUUACAAUUCUCAUUACACAUAUAUACCACAAUUUUUCAUAUCUAUGUAUAUAAAGUAUGUUGACACCCAAUUCGUGUCUUCAUACAUGUACUUAGGAUAAUGAUGUCCAUCACAUUCCACCAUCAUUAGUAACCCCCUGCCCCCUUCCUUACCAUCCCAUCCCUCUUUGCUAUCUAGAAUUCAUCUAUUCCUCCCAUUCUCCCCCUCCCUAACUGUCACUAUGAGUCAGCCUCCUUAUAUCAGAGAAAACAUUCAACGUUCGUUUUUGGGGGGAUUGGCUAACUUCACUUAGCAUUAUCUUCGCCAACACCAUCUAUUUACCUGCAAAUGCCAUGAUUUUCCAGCUAUCACACUUGCCCUGCAGACUGUUUAUGAAUGCCCUGUGAGCUGACUGACUUUUACAUUCCUAAAGAGUUUUUAAAACUAUAACCUCAAUGAUUGUUAAGCAACUUGAAAAUUUCGAAAUAUCUGUUCUCUCAUUCUUUUCGUAAAACUUUCCUGAUUGCUGAUGUAAAUAAAUUAUGGAUUAUGCAUGCAUUUCCUUAAUUAGAAAUGAACAAGGGUUCUGAAUUUGACCUCUCUGAAUUCAAACUCUGGUCAGUUACUAAAUUUCUUUCUUUUUAAAAAUAUCUUUAUUUAUUUUUUUGUGGUGCUGAGGAUCGAACCCAGUGCCUCACCAGUGCAAGGCAAACGCUCUACCACUGAGCCACAGCCACAGCCCCCUAAAUUUCUUUCUUAUCUGAGCAAGUUUCCCUCUUGAUGCUUUGAUUUCCUAAAAUGAAAAUGAGAUGAAUGCUUGUAGCUAUCUCUUACAUAUCUAAGGAUUUAAAGGGAUAAUGUUUAUAGAGCAUAUCAUAUAGAGCCUAGAAUUUCAUAACUGUUGAAGAAAUCUUAGCUAUUUAUACUAUUUAUUAUUAUUUU
Molecule: long non-coding RNA, 1084 nt
Filed under: Marmota monax (woodchuck)
Lineage: Eukaryota; Metazoa; Chordata; Mammalia; Rodentia; Sciuridae
Source: RNAcentral